AUUGAACGCUGGCGGCAUGCCUUACACAUGCAAGUCGAACGGUAACGGGCCUUCGGGUGCCGACGAGUGGCGGACGGGUGCGUAAUACAUCGGAACGUGCCCGAUCGUGGGGGAUAACGAGGCGAAAGCUUUGCUAAUACCGCAUACGAUCUACGGACGAAAACCGGGGACUGCAAGGCCUUGCGCGGACGGAGCGGCCGAUGGCAGAUUAGGUAGUUGGUGGGAUAAAGGCUUACCAAGCCGACGAUCUGUAGCUGGUCUGAGAGGAUGAUCAGCCACACUGGGACGGAGAACCGGCCCAGACUCCUACGGGAGGCAGCAGUGGGGAAUUUUGGACAAUGGGCGCAAGCCUGAUCCAGCCAUGCCGCGUGCAGGAUGAAGGCCUUCGGGUUGUAAACUGCUUUUGUACGGAACGAAAAGCCUUCUUUUAAUACAGGAGGGUCAUGACGGUACCGUAAGAAUAAGCACCGGCUAACUACGUG
This 482-nucleotide ribosomal RNA is filed under the name uncultured bacterium. RNAcentral describes it as "partial 16S ribosomal RNA". It matches the Rfam family "Bacterial small subunit ribosomal RNA", at positions 30 to 507 of the family's 1533-position model. The record is from RNAcentral.